UGCGUAGGCGGUUUAUUAAGUCAGAUGUGAAAUCCCCGCGCUUAACGUGGGCAUUGCAUUUGAAACUAUGUAGCUAGAGUUCUGUAGAGGGGGGUAGAAUUCCAGGUGUAGCGGUGAAAUGCGUAGAGAUCUGGAGGAAUACCGAUUGCGAAGGCAGCCCCCUGGACAGAGACUGACGCUCAAAUGCGAAAGCGUGGGGAUCAAACAGGAUUAGAUACCCGCGUA
RNAcentral lists this ribosomal RNA (225 nucleotides) under uncultured Thorsellia sp. RNAcentral describes it as "partial 16S ribosomal RNA". It matches the Rfam family "Bacterial small subunit ribosomal RNA", at positions 568 to 792 of the family's 1533-position model. Lineage: Bacteria; Pseudomonadati; Pseudomonadota; Gammaproteobacteria; Enterobacterales; Thorselliaceae. The record is from RNAcentral.